Molecule: ribosomal RNA, 506 nt
Filed under: uncultured bacterium
Lineage: Bacteria
Description: partial 16S ribosomal RNA
Rfam family: Bacterial small subunit ribosomal RNA
Source: RNAcentral
GAUGAACGCUAGCUACAGGCUUAACACAUGCAAGUCGAGGGGUAACGAGAGGAAAGCUUGCUUUCCUUGUCGACGACCGGCGCACGGGUGAGUAACGCGUAUCCAACCUGCCCCCAACUAGGGAAUAACCUUGCGAAAGUAAGACUAAUACCCUAUAAUUUCCUCAGAUGUCAUCUGACGAGGAAUAAAGAUUUAUCGGUUGUGGAUGGGGAUGCGUCUGAUUAGCUUGUUGGCGGGGUAACGGCCCACCAAGGCAACGAUCAGUAGGGGUUCUGAGAGGAAGGUCCCCCACAUUGGAACUGAGACACGGUCCAAACUCCUACGGGAGGCAGCAGUGAGGAAUAUUGGUCAAUGGGCGGAAGCCUGAACCAGCCAAGUAGCGUGCAGGAUGACGGCCCUAUGGGUUGUAAACUGCUUUUAUACAGGAAUAAAGUUAGCCACGUGUGGUUAUUUGUAGGUACUGUAUGAAUAAGGACCGGCUAAUUCCGUGCCAGCAGCCGCCGUAA